Molecule: long non-coding RNA, 459 nt
Filed under: Zostera marina
Lineage: Eukaryota; Viridiplantae; Streptophyta; Magnoliopsida; Alismatales; Zosteraceae
Description: long non-coding RNA (ZMAR_LNC004253)
Source: RNAcentral
UUUAAAAAAUAUUAAUAUAUUGUGAAAAUUACACUUAACCCCCUAUAAAAAAAUUAAUUACAUAUAGGUCCUCGAAUAUUUUCCAAAUUUUAGGGGGGGCAAUUGCCCUCCCUUGCCCCCCUGGAUACGCCACUGCUUCCACAUACUUCAGUAAAUUUGUGCCAAUAAGAACACAGGUGGCCUAAGCCUUCCACGAAACAAAAUUCUCUUUCGUAAGAGUAACAAAGGAUAGCCUCUUCACGUGAAGAAUUGGUUCCUCUAAUCGAGCGACGGAUCCAUCAUCGGCGUUUGCGGAAGCUCCGGUACCUGACGAUGAUACCAUGAUGAUGAAUGAAAGUGAAUUUGGACGAAGGUGAUUUGAGUAUGAAGAAGAAUAGAAUGUGAUUGUGAUGAAUGGAACCGUGGUUUAUUCCACUGUGUUUCUUUGUAUAUAUAACUUUAUAAUAUUCAGAACCCACU